CCCUAAGGACUAUGCCAUCCUAAAGGUGAAACCAUUGAGGCAAGAAGCCGUGGCGGGGAGUAACCAGAGUAGAGGCGCUGUUUAAGGGAAAAAGUAUCCAGAUUACCAUGUUAAUAGUGACAGAAGAACAUAUUAUUUAAGAAUAAUCUAGUAUAUAGUAAGCCAAUAUGACCAUAUUUUGUUGUGUACGUGAUUGAAGGGAAUAUUUUGAAAAAAGCAAAUUUAUGAAAAAUGAAUGAUAAUAUAUCUGAUGUGAUGGUAGAUAAAUUCAAGAUACUUAUUUU
Molecule: long non-coding RNA, 284 nt
Filed under: Capsicum annuum
Lineage: Eukaryota; Viridiplantae; Streptophyta; Magnoliopsida; Solanales; Solanaceae
Description: long non-coding RNA (CANN_LNC001964)
Source: RNAcentral